CAGCAGCCGCGGUAAAACGUAGGGUGCAAGCGUUAAUCGGAAUUACUGGGCGUAAAGCGUGCGCAGGCGGUUAUAUAAGACAGAUGUGAAAUCCCCGGGCUCAACCUGGGAACUGCAUUUGUGACUGUAUAGCUAGAGUACGGCAGAGGGGGAUGGAAUUCCGCGUGUAGCAGUGAAAUGCGUAGAUAUGCGGAGGAACACCGAUGGCGAAGGCAAUCCCCUGGGCCUGUACUGACGCUCAUGCACGAAAGCGUGGGGAGCAAACAGGAUUAGAUACCCGUGUAGUCCCUGUCUCUUAUAU
This 301-nucleotide ribosomal RNA is filed under the name uncultured bacterium. Its description in RNAcentral is "partial 16S ribosomal RNA". It matches the Rfam family "Bacterial small subunit ribosomal RNA", at positions 509 to 809 of the family's 1533-position model. The record is from RNAcentral.